GAACGCUAGCUACAGGCUUAAUACAUGCAAGUCGAGGGGCAUCAGGAAGAAAGCUUGCUUUCUUUGCUGGCGACCGGCGCACGGGUGAGUAACACGUAUCCAACCUGCCCUUUACUCGGGGAUAGCCUUUCGAAAGAAAGAUUAAUACCCGAUAGCAUAAUGAUUCCGCAUGGUUUCAUUAUUAAAGGAUUCCGGUAAAGGAUGGGGAUGCGUUCCAUUAGGUUGUUGGUGGGGUAACGGCCCACCAAGCCUUCGAUGGAUAGGGGUUCUGAGAGGAAGGUCCCCCACAUUGGAACUGAGACACGGUCCAAACUCCUACGGGAGGCAGCAGUGAGGAAUAUUGGUCAAUGGGCGCUAGCCUGAACCAGCCAAGUAGCGUGAAGGAUGAAGGCUCUAUGGGUCGUAAACUUCUUUUAUAUAAGAAUAAAGUGCAGUAUGUAUACUGUUUUGUAUGUAUUAUAUGAAUAAGGAUCGGCUAACUCCGUGCCAGCAGCCGCGGUAAUACGGAGGAUCCGAGCGUUAUCCGGAUUUAUUGGGUUUAAAGGGAGCGUAGGUGGACUGGUAAGUCAGUUGUGAAAGUUUGCGGCUCAACCGUAAAAUUGCAGUUGAUACUGUCAGUCUUGAGUACAGUAGAGGUGGGCGGAAUUCGUGGUGUAGCGGUGAAAUGCUUAGAUAUCACGAAGAACUCCGAUUGCGAAGGCAGCUCACUGGACUGCAACUGACACUGAUGCUCGAAAGUGUGGGUAUCAAACAGGAUUAGAUGCCCUGGUAGUCCACACAGUAAACGAUGAAUACUCGCUGUUUGCGAUAUACAGUAAGCGGCCAAGCGAAAGCAUUAAGUAUUCCACCUGGGGAGUACGCCGGCAACGGUGAAACUCAAAGGAAUUGACGGGGGCCCGCACAAGCGGAGGAACAUGUGGUUUAAUUCGAUGAUACGCGAGGAACCUUACCCGGGCUUAAAUUGCAGUGGAAUGAUGUGGAAACAUGUCAGUGAGCAAUCACCGCUGUGAAGGUGCUGCAUGGUUGUCGUCAGCUCGUGCCGUGAGGUGUCGGCUUAAGUGCCAUAACGAGCGCAACCCUUAUCUUCAGUUACUAACAGGUCAUGCUGAGGACUCUGGAGAGACUGCCGUCGUAAGAUGUGAGGAAGGUGGGGAUGACGUCAAAUCAGCACGGCCCUUACGUCCGGGGCUACACACGUGUUACAAUGGGGGGUACAGAAGGCAGCUAGCGGGUGACCGUAUGCUAAUCCCAAAAGCCUCUCUCAGUUCGGAUCGAAGUCUGCAACCCGACUUCGUGAAGCUGGAUUCGCUAGUAAUCGCGCAUCAGCCACGGCGCGGUGAAUACGUUCCCGGGCCUUGUACACACCGCCCGUCAAGCCAUGGGAGCCGGGGGUACCUGAAGUACGUAACCGCAAGGAUCGUCCUAGGGUAAAACUGGUGACUGGGGC
This 1447-nucleotide ribosomal RNA is filed under the name uncultured organism. Its description in RNAcentral is "SSU rRNA". It matches the Rfam family "Bacterial small subunit ribosomal RNA". The record is from RNAcentral.